RNAcentral lists this long non-coding RNA (1459 nucleotides) under Capsicum annuum. RNAcentral describes it as "long non-coding RNA (CANN_LNC016593)". Lineage: Eukaryota; Viridiplantae; Streptophyta; Magnoliopsida; Solanales; Solanaceae. The record is from RNAcentral.
GCAGCUUUUAACUUGCGAAACUGUUUCUUUUAUCGGAUUAUAAUUGAAAUUUCGGGUAGGUAUUUGGUUUGUUAAUUGUUGUUAUGAGCAAAUUGCACAAAUCAUUACCACAACGCUGCAGAAUUAACACCAGAAACACAAAGGGAACAAUAAAUAAGAAAUGUUGCAACAAUCUCCUGGGCGUUGUUGCUGACGCAGAGAAAAUUACAACAAUCCUUGCAACCAAAAAACACCUUGAUAAUGCCAAUUCAUGCCAUUACUAAAGAUCCAUAGUCUCACAAAAUCCACAACACAAUAACCAACAAUUGAGUUAGGUGCUGGUACCGGAGCCAACUCCUGAGCCGAGUUGCAGCAGCAGCAGCAGAGAAAAUCACAACAACCAUUGCAACCAAAAACAUGUUAAUAAUGCUAAUUCGUUCGAAAAUAGAGACUUCCAAUAUAGAUCUAGCAGAAUCAUAAGACAAAAAGCAAACAAACUCUCUAACACUAGUAAUAAAAUGAAGAUUUAUUUAUUAUAUAUACUGCAAAAAGAAUAAUAAUAAUAAUAAUAGUAAUACAUAUCAAACCAAUAAUCAUAGCCAAACAUCCUAAGUCUCUACCAAAUCAAUCGCAGCAGCAGCAGAGAAAAUCACAACAACCAUUGCAACCAAAAACAUCUUAAUAAUGCUAAUUCGUUCGAAAAUAGAGACUUCCAAUAUAGAUCUAGCAGAAUCAUAAGACAAAAAGGAAACAAACUCUCUAACACUAGUAAUAAAAUGAAGAUUUAUUUAUUAUAUAUACUGCAAAAAGAAUAAUAAUAAUAAUAAUAAUAGUAAUACAUAUCAAACCAAUAAUCAUAGCCAAACAUCCUAAGUCUCUACCAAAUCAAUCACUCCAUCUCCAUCUUCCGCAAAAUGGACUCAGUGCCUCAGGAGAGCAACAGCAGAAACAAGUAGAGAAGUAGCAACCAAAGCACCAGAUUGAGCCAGAGAGAAUCCAGCUCCAGCAUCAGGUGCCGGUGCCGGAGCCAACUCCUGAGCCGAUGUUGCAGCAGCAGACAACACAACAACAAUCACUGCAACCAAAAACGACUUAACAAUGCUGUAUUGUGCCAUUUCUAAUUGGUGGAACAAGAAGAAGAACAAAGAGAUUGAGAAGAUGCGGCGAGAAUUAGGGUUUUGAUUGAUGAAAAUGAAGGGAAAGGGAGUAGUGAAUUUAUUUAUAGGAGGGUGAGGGAACGCGUGAAGGGAGACAGCUGGCACAGAGAACGAGAAGAUGCGGCGAGAAUUAGGGUUUUGAUUGAUGAAAAUGAAGGGGAAGGGAGUAGUGAAUUUAUUUAUAGGAGGGUGAGGGAACGCGUGAAGGGAGACAGCUGGCACAGAGAAAGAGAGAGAGAGUUUUCAUCGAAUCGGCGGGGGCAUGUGAAAGCACGAAAGUUGUUAGUUGCGGGCGCUGGAAAAAUUUGCUGGACACGUUGCAC